UACGAAGGGGGCUAGCGUUGCUCGGAAUCACUGGGCGUAAAGGGUGCGUAGGCGGGUUUUUAAGUCAGGGGUGAAAUCCUGGAGCUCAACUCCAGAACUGCCUUUGAUACUGAAGAUCUUGAGUCCGGGAGAGGUGAGUGGAACUGCGAGUGUAGAGGUGAAAUUCGUAGAUAUUCGCAAGAACACUAGUGGCGAAGGCGGCUCACUGGCCCGGUACUGACGCUGAGGCACGAAAGCGUGGGGAGUAAACAGG
RNAcentral lists this ribosomal RNA (253 nucleotides) under uncultured bacterium. RNAcentral's name for it is "partial 16S ribosomal RNA". It matches the Rfam family "Bacterial small subunit ribosomal RNA", at positions 524 to 776 of the family's 1533-position model. The record is from RNAcentral.